Molecule: ribosomal RNA, 468 nt
Filed under: uncultured bacterium
Lineage: Bacteria
Description: partial 16S ribosomal RNA
Rfam family: Bacterial small subunit ribosomal RNA
Source: RNAcentral
GACGAACGCUGGCGGCGUGCUUAACACAUGCAAGUCGAACGGAAAGGCCCUGCUUUUGUGGGGUGCUCGAGUGGCGAACGGGUGAGUAACACGUGAGUAACCUGCCCUUGACUUUGGGAUAACUUCAGGAAACUGGGGCUAAUACCGGAUAGGAGCUCCUGCUGCAUGGUGGGGGUUGGAAAGUUUCGGCGGUUGGGGAUGGACGCGCGGGUUAUCAGCUUGUUGGUGGGGUAGUGGCUUACCAAGGCUUUGACGGGUAGCCGGCCUGAGAGGGUGACCGGCCACAUUGGGACUGAGAUACGGCCCAGACUCCUACGGGAGGCAGCAGUGGGGAAUAUUGCACAAUGGGCGGAAGCCUGAUGCAGCAACGCCGCGUGCGGGAUGACGGCCUUCGGGUUGUAAACCGCUUUCGCCUGUGACGAAGCGUGAGUGACGGUAAUGGGUAAAGAAGCACCGGCUAACUACGUG